UAGGGAAUCUUCGGCAAUGGACGAAAGUCUGACCGAGCAACGCCGCGUGAGUGAAGAAGGUUUUCGGAUCGUAAAACUCUGUUGUUAGAGAAGAACAAGGACGUUAGUAACUGAACGUCCCCUGACGGUAUCUAACCAGAAAGCCACGGCUAACUACGUGCCAGCAGCCGCGGUAAUACGUAGGUGGCAAGCGUUGUCCGGAUUUAUUGGGCGUAACGCGAGCGCAGGCGGUUUCUUAAGUCUGAUGUGAAAGCCCCCGGCUCAACCGGGGAGGGUCAUUGGAAACUGGGAGACUGGAGUGCAGAAGAGGAGAGUGGAAUUCCAUGUGUAGAGGUGAAAUGCGUAGAUAUAUGGAUGAACACCAGUGGCGAAGGCGGCUCUCUGUUCUGUAACUGACGCUGAGGCUCGAAAGCGUGGGGAGCAAACAGG
Molecule: ribosomal RNA, 429 nt
Filed under: Gemmatimonadota bacterium
Lineage: Bacteria; Pseudomonadati; Gemmatimonadota
Description: Gemmatimonadetes bacterium partial 16S ribosomal RNA
Rfam family: Bacterial small subunit ribosomal RNA
Source: RNAcentral